GACGAACGCUGGCGGCGUGCCUAACACAUGCAAGUCGAACGGAAAGGCCCUGCUUUUGUGGGGUGCUCGAGUGGCGAACGGGUGAGUAACACGUGAGUAACCUGCCCUUGACUUUGGGAUAACUUCAGGAAACUGGGGCUAAUACCGGAUAGGAGCUCCUGCUGCAUGGUGGGGGUUGGAAAGUUUCGGCGGUUGGGGAUGGACUCGCGGCUUACCAGCUUGUUGGUGGGGUAGUGGCUUACCAAGGCUUUGACGGGUAGCCGGCCUGAGAGGGUGACCGGCCACAUUGGGACUGAGAUACGGCCCAGACUCCUACGGGAGGCAGCAGUGGGGAAUAUUGCACAAUGGGUGGAAGCCUGAUGCAGCAACGCCGCGUGCGGGAUGACGGCCUUCGGGUUGUAAACCGCUUUCGCCUGUGACGAAGCGUGAGUGACGGUAAUGGGUAAAGAAGCACCGGCUAACUACGUG
Molecule: ribosomal RNA, 468 nt
Filed under: uncultured bacterium
Lineage: Bacteria
Description: partial 16S ribosomal RNA
Rfam family: Bacterial small subunit ribosomal RNA
Source: RNAcentral